This 678-nucleotide long non-coding RNA is filed under the name Equus caballus (horse). RNAcentral describes it as "lncRNA (ENSECAG00000047506.1)". Lineage: Eukaryota; Metazoa; Chordata; Mammalia; Perissodactyla; Equidae. The record is from RNAcentral.
AAUCACAUCAGAAGCAGCAAAGACUCCCACGGGUGAUCUCAACGUGCAGCCACUGCCGAGAACCACAGAGCUAGGCCCUUGAGAAGAUUCAGCCAAACUGCAGGAGUUCAAACAAGAAACAACCCACCCCUCAGGUCUAGACCUGCCAGGGCGCAUCCCAACUGGCUCCAGGUCCUAAGUCAUUGCACCUCGUUCUCAGAGGAGCAGAGAUUCCUCAGAGCCUCCAAGUCAGCAACAAGAUUAGCCCUGAGCUAACUACUGGGCAAUCCUCCUCUUUUUGCUGAGGAAAACUGGCCCUGAGCUAACAUCCGUGCCCAUUUCCUCCACUUUAUACAUGGGACGCCUGCCACAGCGUGGCUUUCGUCAAGCGGUGCCAUGUCCACACCCGGGAUCCGGGCCAGCAAACCCCAGGCCACCGAGAAGUGGAACAUGCGAACUUAACUGCUGCACCACCAGGCAGGCCCACCAUGUCCAUUCUUGAUUAGGUCCUCAAUGCUCCGGGCAUUCUCCUAGGCAUCCUGAAUGCAUUAGAUACACACAAUUGGCCAAUGGAAAGGAAACAUCUGGAACUGUCACUGAUUAAAUUGACUUGAAACAUUGCCCCUUCCAGCUGUUAUGAAUAUCUCUAGUGGGACAAGCACCAUUAAAACGGAAGGCUAGGUAAUCAUUUCAUAACAU